RNAcentral lists this ribosomal RNA (664 nucleotides) under Stenotrophomonas maltophilia. RNAcentral describes it as "bacterial SSU rRNA". It matches the Rfam family "Bacterial small subunit ribosomal RNA", at positions 119 to 779 of the family's 1533-position model. Lineage: Bacteria; Pseudomonadati; Pseudomonadota; Gammaproteobacteria; Lysobacterales; Lysobacteraceae. The record is from RNAcentral.
CGGAAUCUACUUUUUCGUGGGGGAUAACGUAGGGAAACUUACGCUAAUACCGCAUACGACCUACGGCUGAAGGCAGGUGAUCUUCGGACCUUGCGCGAUUGAAUGAGCCGAUGUCGCAUUAGCUAGUUGGCGGGGUAAAGGCCCACCAAGGCGACGAUCCGUAGCUGGUCUGAGAGGAUGAUCAGCCACACUGGAACUGAGACACGGUCCAGACUCCUACGGCAGGCAGCAGUGGGGAAUAUUGGACAAUGGGCGCAAGCCUGAUCCAGCCAUACCGCGUGGGUGAAGAAGGCCUUCGGGUUGUAAAGCCCUUUUGUUGGGAAAGAAAUCCAGCUGGUUAAUACCCGGUUGGGAUGACGGUACCCAAAGAAUAAGCACCGGCUAACUUCGUGCCAGCAGCCGCGAUAAUACGAAGGAUGCAAGCGUUACUCGGAAUUACUGGGCGUAGAGCGUGCGUAGGUGGUCGUUUAAGUCCGAUGUGAGAGCCCUGGGCUCAACCUGCGAACUGCAGUGGAUACUGGGCGACUAGAAUGUGGUAGAGGGUAGCGGAAUUCCUGGUGUAGCAGUGAAAUGCGUAGAGAUCAGGAGGAACAUCCAUGGCGAAGGCAGCUACCUGGACCAACAUUGACACUGAGGCACGAGAGCGUGGGGAGCAAACAGGAUU